Molecule: long non-coding RNA, 1850 nt
Organism: Anser brachyrhynchus (Pink-footed goose)
Lineage: Eukaryota; Metazoa; Chordata; Aves; Anseriformes; Anatidae
Source: Ensembl
CUGGAUUCUAUAUUAUUUUUAUCAAAUAAUGGCUCUACUGUUUUGAAGGAAAUACUUUUAUAAUAUAAACAUUUAAUUACUUUAUUGACUUUGUAUUUCUGUGAAGGUAACAAACCCCAUGAUUUCCCUGUUCUAAAGUAAGAAAGACAAUGAGAUUUCUAAUUGAGCAGCUAUAGUCUAAUGCCUUCAAAAACAGAAAAACUGCACUGCAAAGAUAUUCAGGACACCAUAAUUUUCAGUUUGCAAACCUGCAGUCUUCUUGGUUACCAUACCAAGCACAUUUCUUAUGUGAUAUACCUGGAGGAUCCAUCGCUGGGUUAUAUCUGUGAUCUUUGCUCUUCAUUUACAGAAAUACAGCUUAGGAGAAACAUCCAGGAGGCAUAGUUAGAAGAACCUCAGUUAUGUUUGGACUUGCCUUUAGACUGUCCAGCCACUGUACUACUUGUUCUACUGCAAAUCAGAAGCUCCAGCAAUUCUGUUGUUUCACACUGCAGUGUUCCUCGAUUUUAUGUAUAAAGUAGCUACGUACCUUCUCAGUGUGUGGGGUGUGUUGUUGCUCUGUGGGUAGAGUUCUUCCAUGCUGUUCAUCUAAACCCUCCAGUUCUUAUCUUCUGCAGAAGCAGCAUUGGAUUUUUAUCAGUGGAUACUGUGCUAGGGGCCUAAUUAUACUUGAUGCUACACAAGAAAUCACAAGUUGUGUGUGCAGUCAAAUAUAGCUUGACAGAUGUCAGUGUACAGAUUACCAUGGAUUUGGGGAGGUUGUUUGCUUUUAUUUUGCUGAUGAGUAGGCAACUAUUUCAUUUGUCCUUUAGAACAGAAGCUCGACAAGGAGAAUAUCUACUGUCCUGUGAACGCAAGCAGAAGUUUCAGACCGGCCUCUAACUUUUGCCAGCCGCUAGAGACUUCAUCUUCCUCCCUCAGAACUGGGACUGCUGGUUGUGCGCCUGCCUCUAUUAGUGCAUGCAUUUAAAUCACUACAUUAAUCCCUGUGACUGAGAUUUAGUGAGGGAGAGCGCUCUGCAAAGCUCUUUUUGAACCACUGUCUUAAUGCAUUAAUCUGCAAGGUGGCUCUGGAACGUGACUGACUUGAGCAAGAGAAGAGGAAGACUUUCCAUGUUCCCUUUCCCAUUUGAGGAUCUUCAGGAGCCUUUCAAGGGGAGAACUAAAACCUUCCAGAUAAGAACGGAGCAGCGUGCAUCGCUCUUCAAGAAACCCCAUAGCCUUUACAUAGGUGGGUGCAGGAGCAGUGUGCAAACAGAUGCUGGCCUCCACAGCCACUGGGGCCUGGAGAGCUAAUGGGAUGCAUCACCUGCUGGGCUCAGCUCAAGCUGCUCCCUCUCAACCGAGUGGCAGCAAGUGGGGAAUGUCAUGAAGCAUCAGACUCAGCCUUGUCCGAUUCCUUCUGCCUUUGUGCUCUCCCCAUUGAAAGGACAAGAAUGGCAUCCUUGAGGUAUUUCGGUGCAUCCCUUUGAGGAUGCUGCUGGAGGAAGUGGCCUCCUGCAGCCCCCAUGGUCAGGAAUGAGGGCCCACAUGUGCCCCUGCAGCUGCUGGGCGAGCUGAUCGCUUCCGCUCGCGUGCGUGGCACAGUGAUUGCUCAGAUUGCAUCUGCCUCAUGUGCAGCACUAAAGAGGCUUCAUCAUCUGCUUUGAUGCGCUUUCUGGGAUCCCCUGCUUGAUGUCGAUGUUUUCCUCCCUGGCAAGGAGCCAGCAUUUUGUUUACCUCUUAGAAGAAGAUUCAUUAAUGUGUUUUUCCUGUUCUAGUUUGUUUGUGUCAUUUACCCUGAGCAGGCAAUUUUGCUUUCCUCCUACUUUCCUCUUUUCUUUUCUUUUCUUUUCUUUUCUUUUCUUUUC